AUGAAUACUAGGACAAACAAACAGGCCUCCGGGAUGCCGGCCCAGCCGCUCCAAACCACAGUUGGCAACAGGUUUGGAGGUGGCAGUGGGCGAAAAUCGUACCAGCAACACUGCAGUAAUCCUCGGGAGCGAACGCAGGGAAGCUCUCUCCAGAACGUGCCCUGCUUGAGAGACAGCAAGAGUCAUGAGACCGCUCCGGCCCGCCUUUGGCAAACAAGAGUCUAUAAUUAUGCAGACGUGCAUGGGAGCAGAAGGAAAUCCUGGAUUGCGUCUAGCAGUAUCGUAUGCUGCACAACGAAUCCUGUUAGAAGCAGACUCACAUCCUCUCGGGAUCAAAGCAGCCCCAUCUUGGGCCCUCAGGAUUUCCCCCACGUUAGGAUCAACCAAUGAAAGAUCCUGAAACCUACAAGCAAACAGGCCACCACGAGUGAGAAUCAGUAGAAAUUAUGAGUCACGGAACGCAACCUCCUUCCUUUAGGUAACGAAAUGAGCAGAUGCAAAAAUAUAUAAAGUGACAAUGUGUCCAGUAUGUAAAGACUGAAAGAAAGAAAAACCAUAAAGAUAGGCAAGCCAUAAGAAACUAUAAAAAAAAAAAAAAAUGACGGGGGCACCUGGGUGGCUCAGUCGGUUAAGCGUCCGACUUCGGCUCAGGUCAUGAUCUCACGGUCCGUGAGUUCGAGCUCCGCAUCAGGCUCUGUGCUGACAGCUCAGAGCCUGGAGCCCAUUUUGGAUUCUGUGUCUCCCUCUCUCUCUGCCCCUCCCCUGUUCAUGCUCUGUCUCUCUCGGUCUCAAAAAUAAAUAAACGUUAAAAAAAAAAUUUUUUAAAAAA
This 829-nucleotide long non-coding RNA is filed under the name Felis catus (domestic cat). RNAcentral's name for it is "lncRNA (ENSFCAG00000040348.2)". The record is from RNAcentral. Lineage: Eukaryota; Metazoa; Chordata; Mammalia; Carnivora; Felidae.